ACUUCCAAAAUACCUACAUUGCACGAUAAUAUUCCAUAACUAAUACUCUUUCACUUAACUUAGUCAAAAUCCAAUUAAUCAUAUCUUGGAAUACAAAUUACUCCACCAAGAAAACUCUCAAAAUAGCCUAUUCAUACUUUGGCUAUAAACACAGAUAGCAUUCUGAUUUCAGCAUCACAAAAUUCAGAUAAGAUAACACAAAUUUACCACUAACAAAAGUAAACAAAGAUAUUUGUCUUCUUGCCCCAUCUCUCAAACUUUUCGACGAAUCCUAAGAAUCCUAAAAGCUAAGCUCUGAUAUAACUAAUCAUUAUUCCCUAGUAAUCUUAAACCCAAGCUCUGAUACCACUUAAGUUGUCACGCCUCCGGCCCAAAAUCGCGAGGCGAGGGAACGUGCCAACCGCCGCACACCCAUAGGAAACUCUUCCCACGAGCAUGCAAGGCAUCUUAACCAACAUCUCAAUUAUAUAAAUCCAAAAUAAUUCAACUAAAUAAAUGCAAUCUUAUUCCAUUAACUAACUCAAGUCAUAAAGUCUCACAGUUCUAAAUAUAUAACAGAACAAUAAUUUACCAACAUGCAAAACUUAGUUCUUAAAAUAACAAAGCCUUGCAAUGUCCAACAAUCUUAAUGAAUGUCCAAGAUAACAGUUCAACUUAAAUAACCCUAAUCUAAGAUAGCUUGCGCCACAAUCCUUCUAGUCGCUCUUCCAAUUUAGAACCCCAAUAGACUAGUUCUCGAAAUCUGUAAAACAACAAGAAAUUGUAUAAUGAGCUAAACAGCCCAGUAAAUAAUGAACACUCCAGCGAGAUAAAUCGGCAAUAAUAUGUAGAAAAUAAAUAUAUAUGCAAUUCCAAGGUAUAAGUCAAAUAUUUCUUAAAUUUUUAAGAUUCUUUUCAUGAUUUCGAGAUUCUUUCGCAUAUUUAAUUUAUGUUGUCGAUUCUGGACUAUGACCACAUGUUCCCUAUGGCAGAGUCAUCAACACCGACUAAUCUUCUUGCAGUGAAUCCUUCAGGACAGUCAAUUGUCCACGUAUCUGCUCCCAUUGGCGAGGUCCUCAACAUAGCCAGGUCGAAGUUCAAUUAACUCUCUAUUUCAUAUUUCAAUUAUGAAAACAUGCAGUGUCAAACCAAAUAUCAUUCAUAUCUUAAUUUCUUUCAAUUUAUCAUAUUCAACUCAAAAGCCGAAAACUAUGACCACAU
RNAcentral lists this long non-coding RNA (1200 nucleotides) under Phoenix dactylifera (date palm). Its description in RNAcentral is "long non-coding RNA (PDAC_LNC009008)". Lineage: Eukaryota; Viridiplantae; Streptophyta; Magnoliopsida; Arecales; Arecaceae. The record is from RNAcentral.